Passer domesticus (house sparrow) is the source of this 5325-nucleotide RNA transcript. It is a transcript of the gene named 5-hydroxytryptamine receptor 7, with no coding region annotated. Lineage: Eukaryota; Metazoa; Chordata; Aves; Passeriformes; Passeridae. The transcript has 3 exons. The record is from RefSeq and is a predicted model, not a curated record.
GGAGGGAGGGAGGGAGGGAGGGAGCGCAGCCACCGCCGCCCGCCCCUCUGCCCGCGGGCUGGGGGCCGUAGCGCCGUGCCCAUAGCGCCGUGCCCACCCCGCGGCCACCCGGGAUGCGCCGCGGGCGAGCCCGGCUGCCCCGGGGGAAGUUGAAGGCUGGGCCCCCACGGGCCGCUCGGCCGGCUGCGAGGGGGCGGGCGGCGCCGGGCGCCCGAGGAGGAGCCCGAGCAUCCCGGCGCCGGGGACAGCCGGAGAACGGGCGGCGAGGCUCCAUGGGCUGCUCACGCCAGCAUGGUGCUCGCCCUCAACGGCAGCCACCUCUACGGUAACCUGCGGCCCCUGGUGCUGGAGGAGCCGCGGGCGCUGGGCGGCGGCAGGAUGAUCGCGGGCUCCUGGCCCCCGCGCAGCCUGGCGAAGCUCGGCCCGUCGCCCCCCCCGACGGCGCUGCCCACGGCGAGCCCCCUCCCCGCCAACGACUCGCAGUGCGGGGAGCAGAUCCUCAGCUACGGCAGCGCCGAGAAAGUUCUCAUCGGGGCCGUGCUCUGCCUCAUCACCCUGCUGACCAUCGCCGGCAACUGCCUGGUGGUGAUCUCCGUCUGCUUCGUGAAGAAGCUGCGGCAGCCCUCCAACUAUCUCAUCGUCUCGCUGGCCCUGGCCGAUCUCUCGGUGGCCCUGGCCGUCAUGCCCUUCGUCAGCGUCACCGACCUGAUCGGCGGCGAGUGGAUCUUCGGGCGCCUCUUCUGCAACGUCUUCAUCGCCAUGGAUGUCAUGUGCUGCACGGCCUCCAUCAUGACCCUCUGUGUGAUAAGUAUCGACAGGUACCUGGGAAUCACGAGACCCCUUACGUACCCUGUAAGGCAGAAUGGGAAGUGUAUGGCCAAGAUGAUCCUGUGUGUCUGGCUCUUGUCUGCCUCAAUCACCCUACCCCCGCUCUUCGGCUGGGCCCAGAACGUGAAUGACGAAAAGGUUUGUCUCAUCAGUCAGGACUUUGGCUACACCAUUUACUCCACAGCAGUUGCAUUUUAUAUUCCAAUGUCAGUGAUGCUUUUCAUGUACUAUCAGAUUUAUAAAGCUGCCAGGAGGAGUGCUGCUAAACACAAGUUUACUGGUUUUCCCCGUCUGGAAGAAAUGGAAGGGAUUUCUGUGAACGGACUUGUAAAACUGCACAAGGAAUCUGAAGAAUGUACUAAUUUUUCACGACUCCUAAAGCAUGACAAGAAAAACAUUUCCAUCUUUAAAAGAGAACAGAAAGCUGCCACCACCCUUGGGAUUAUUGUUGGGGCUUUCACAGUCUGCUGGCUGCCCUUUUUCCUCCUCUCAACUGCAAGGCCCUUCAUCUGUGGUACAGCGUGCAGCUGCAUCCCACUCUGGGUGGAGAGAACAUUUCUGUGGCUGGGCUAUGCAAACUCUCUCAUUAACCCUUUUAUCUAUGCCUUCUUUAACCGGGACCUGAGGACAACCUACCGCAACCUGCUGCAGUGCAGAUACAGGAACAUCAACCGCAAGCUCUCAGCCGCAGGCAUGCACGAGGCUCUGAAGCUUGCAGAAAAGCCAGAAUUCGUUCUGUAAGGUCACUCAUCCUCUACUGUGAUCAUUUGUUGUUUUAUCACAUUGGCUUUUCCCCCACAGGUUUGAAAGAAGUGUUGUAGGAAGAACUAGUUGAGCACAGUUAAUACAGUCAUCAGGAAACAAGGUAGAGCCCACCAGCCUGGAAAAACAAGAACACCAUCUAAAGAAUUUGUGUGUAAGAGGUAUAUAAAAAAGGAUGGAAGUGAAAUGUAGUACAGGAUGUUUGACCUGUAAGUGAGGAAAAAGCAAAGUUGGACUAACCCAUUUGUUUGGCCCAAAAAAUGUUUAGUAGGUCUGAAUGUUGGAUGCACCUUGUGUCCCAGAGAUUCUUUGCUGUAAUAAAGGCCUGAGAAUGGUGAAAAGUUAAUUUUCUUCCACUUCAGUAUUACAAAAAUAAGUCAUUAAAGAAGAAGCUGAAUCAAAUAACUUCUAUUCCUUAGAAAUAUUCUUUAUUAUAAAACCCCAUAUGUUCAUUAAACAUUAAUUUACUGGAUUGCCUGGAAAUGAACUAUGUUGUGAAAUUCAAUAUUGCCUUUGCACAGUAACUCUGGCACUGAAAGAAUAUGUUACAUUUCCAAUGUGAUUAAAAGAGUUUGACUAAAGUCACAUGGACCAGCAUCUGCUGCUGCUUACAGCCCUGCAGCACAGUUAGCUGCAGUGCUGCUGUGCAAACCACACCAGGUAAUCUUGUACUGUAUUUCUAACACAAAAAAUGUGUCUGACUGCAGUUUAUUUCAGGAGCUGUCUGGUCUUUGUCCAUCUCUUCAUUCUUUAAUUCUCUUGGCUUUCUCAGCUGAGCACUUCUCUAAUCUAGAUGGAGCCUGUCUGUGCACAAGUAAUUUCUGUGAUGUAUGGCUAGUCCUCGUUCCACUUCAGUAGUUAAUUUACUGUCUAUUUGAAAGCUCUUCUACUUUCUGGGACUUCUUUCUCUUCUGAAGUCAGCAAAGAAAAAACAAACAUAAGACCUUAUAACUUCAGAGACAUCUGGACUUUAUCCUUAAAAACUGAUUUUAAUCAUCACUUGUGCUUAAAGUGAUUUAAAGCCUUGCCGUGUGUACGAAUAAAGAUAAUUUACUUUUCUGGUUCUAGCUUUUUCUACCAUCAUUGCAGUUUGUCCAAGUAUGUGAUUGUACUUCUCCUGACUUUGGUAACAGAUCUCUUCUGUCAAUGUAGCAGGGCCAAAUAGUUUAACAAUAUUUUUAAAAAAAAUUAUAAUUAAUAAUAUUUGUUAUAUUAAUAUAUUGCUAAUAAUGUAUUAAUAUAACAUGCAGUGAUUUUGUAAGAUCUAUUAUAAGAUAGAUAUAAGAUAUUAUAAGAUAAAAUAAGAUAAUAUAAUAUAUUAUCUCUAUUAUUGUAAGAGCUAUUAUAAUAGCUUAAAAUAAUAAUAAAACAACUCAUAAGAUCAAGAUGAGUUCUUUGGCCCAAGUUUGCACUGCACACUGUGUUCCAACUGAAGCAGAGGAUGAGGGUACAUAACUGAACAAAGACUUCAAGCUGCAGAACUUGAUCUGCUUUUUCAGAUACUGGGACAUCAGUGAGAAGACGUUCAUUAUCAAAUUGCCUCAGCACCAAGUCCCACUUUGGGCUAACUUCUGUCCCUGCUUUCUCGAGUCUGAAGGCAAAAUGACUUCACUGAGCUCAGUGGUGCUCCUUUGGGCCGAGCAGGGGGCAGUCAGUGCCAGGCCCCUUGCUCCAAGCACACAGAUGUCACUGCAAACCCUCGAGCCUCCGGCUGGCACAUGGCCAAGGCUGAUGUGCUGAGCCGUGCAAACUGAAACAUGCUAAAGCAAUUUUAGAUGCAUUCCUACACUGCAGAAGGGAGAACAUUUUGGCCUCGUUUUCAGAAAAGAAUUGUAGAGUAAGAGGCUGUAUUCCAGCUUCAAAACAGUUUUCUAAAGAAGUUUCAAACUGAUUUGGGACAGUCCUAUUUCUUUUCAAUGUUCCAAUAUUAUGCACAGGGACAAGAAGAGAUUUGGGCCCAGAAGAUCCAAAGGCUCUGGAGUACAGAGUUAACUCAAGCAUAUUUUCCAUAUUAAACAUGAAACGAUUGUUGUUUCUUUAUUACUUAUCAGAGUAGCUUGUUUGUUUGUUUGUUUCCAGCAUAAAUGAGAUGUUUUCAAGUCCUCCUGUAAAUUUUUUUAAUUUUUUUUCCUGUAUAAGGACAUACAUGGGAAUAUACAAAUAGAUGUAUCUGAGAAGAUUCCAAGUGGGACUGUAAAACUUUGAAGGUGAUUUUAGAAUUCUGGACAGAAGUUUCAGUGUUUUUAUUCUGAAGGAAAGCCUGAGAAGCUGUGUUUCCUCCUUUUUUUCCUUUUCCUCCUUUUUUUUUAAUGGAAUAUGUGUCUUGUAAGUCAGAAAUUGACAUUUGCCCAGCUGUCACUAAAGGCAGUUGCUUUCCUCUGGGAAAACAUCCUGCAGGAGUCCAGCUUUCCUCUACCAUCUGUUUCAGGUAAUGAGAGCCCAGGAAGGAAUAAGAGUUGUUAUGGUGUUUAUACCAAUCCUUGAAGUUUUUGGAAAUAAACAUCCAUAUUUGAUCUCUGGAUGUGUUUGGGAAGAAAAGAAAAACCAAAGAAAAAAACUCCAAAACCCAAGAAAGUUUCUUCAUACACCUAAAUUAAAAUAUAGACAAAUGGAAGUUAUUUUUAGAUGGAGCUGUAUUUGAGGGGAAAAGUUGAGAAGAUUAGAAGAAUGUCCCAUUGCCCAAGCACAAAAAGAAGUUGAGAAGAAGAGAAAGUUUGCAGAGAGAAUUCUAAUGGAAAGAAGCUUUAAGAAGAACAAGAAGGAUAUGAUUGUUUGUGUUUGUGAACAGGACAUUUCCCUUUUUUAAAAGAUAAAUAAAUUGAACUGCAUCACAAUAUCUAACUGCAGCAGUAGCAUUUUUUUUUUCACUUACAUAAUUCACUACAGAUCUGACAAGGGGGUAAUACAAAAAUGGGUGAAUGAGAAGAUCAUGUCAACAUGUGCUUGUAGCAAAUCCAGGAAGAGACUGUGCUCUUGGUCUGUGUGAUCCUCCACGUGUUUCCAGAGGAAAGCCAGAAGGGUGAAUCAAAUAGAUGGGGUUGUGGAAAAAACCUAAAUAAAAGACUCCAGGAGCCAGCCAGAGCACAGGCAGGCCAGCAUUACACUGCCCAAGUGAAGAAGGAGAAAGAGAAGUUCUGAUUUCUCCAGGGAAAAAGAGUCAUGACCAAUUGUGCUUCAAAGUAGCCAGAAAAAGUCAAGCCAGACCAGGGAGAAGAAAAAUGAAGAACUGGCUUCUGAAGAACUGGAUAGAUUUGUAAAAUGUACUUCAUCUUCCUUUGAUGGGAGUGUGCUAAAAAUAUUCCAUGAGCUCAAUACAUUAUAUUAGAUACAUUUCUAUUGGAAGUACUCGCAUCUUGUUUGUUAUGGAGGAAAAUGCUGUUACAAGCAAAUGAAAAUAUCUUCCUGCCUGAGAAAGCCAAAUAAUUUCAGCAAUAAGUUUGACAUGGGGUGGAGGGAAUGACACUAUAACUCAAAGAUAAAGCCUUGUACAGAUUUCCACCACAUUUAACUACAUAGCAGAACAUUUGUAUGUUUACCAUGCUUGUGGAUCCCAGCAUUGGUAUUCAUAUUCAGGGAUUGUCAGUGAUACUGAAUGUAUUUUGCUGUACUAAAAAAGCGAGUUUUUCAGGCAAAUGCUGUCUCUGUGGAUGCUUUCAGAGCUUGUGUUAAAGAGAUGCUAUACACCUCCAAUGGGAUUGAAAAUUACAACAAUAAAAGACCAAUUUUUGUUAAAGA